RNAcentral lists this ribosomal RNA (120 nucleotides) under Prolemur simus (greater bamboo lemur). The record is from RNAcentral. Lineage: Eukaryota; Metazoa; Chordata; Mammalia; Primates; Lemuridae.
GUCUACGGCCAUACCACCCUGAACACACCCGAUCUCGUCUGAUCUCAGAAGCUAAGCAGGGUCGGGCCUGGUUAGUACUUGGAUGGGAGACAUUCAUAUUGGAAAGCUCUGAUCUAAACC